CGGUAGCAGGAAGUGCUUGCACUUUGCUGACGAGUGGCGGACGGGUGAGUAAUACUUAGGAACAUGCCUUUGUGUGGGGGAUAACCAUUGGAAACGAUGGCUAAUACCGCAUAAUGUCUUUGGACCAAAGAGGGCUUUCGGGCUCUCGCGCAAAGAGUGGCCUAAGUGAGAUUAGCUUGUUGGUGAGGUAAAGGCUCACCAAGGCGACGAUCUCUAGCUGUUCUGAGAGGAAGAUCAGCCACACUGGGACUGAGACACGGCCCAGACUCCUACGGGAGGCAGCAGUGGGGAAUAUUGCACAAUGGGGGCAACCCUGAUGCAGCCAUGCCGCGUGUGUGAAGAAGGCCUUCGGGUUGUAAAGCACUUUCAGUUGUGAGGAAAGGUUGAUGGUUAAUACCCAUCAGCUGUGACGUUAGCAACAGAAGAAGCACCGGCUAACUCCGUGCCAGCAGCCGCGGUAAUACGGAGGGUGCGAGCGUUAAUCGGAAUUACUGGGCGUAAAGCGCACGCAGGCGGUUAUAUAAGCUAGAUGUGAAAGCCCCGGGCUCAACCUGGGAAUUGCAUUUAGAACUGUAUGACUAGAGUCUUGGAGAGGGGAGUGGAAUUCCAGGUGUAGCG
This 618-nucleotide ribosomal RNA is filed under the name uncultured bacterium. RNAcentral describes it as "bacterial SSU rRNA". It matches the Rfam family "Bacterial small subunit ribosomal RNA", at positions 67 to 680 of the family's 1533-position model. The record is from RNAcentral.